CGGGGGGGGGCAAGCGUUGUUCGGAAUUACUGGGCGUAAAGGGCGCGUAGGCGGUGCUCUAAGUUAGAUGUGAAAACUCUGGGCUCAACCCAGAGCCUGCAUCUAAAACUGGAGUGCUAGAGUUCUGGAGGGGGUAGCGGAAUCCCUGGUGUAGCGGUGAAAUGCGUAGAUAUCAGGAGGAACACCGGUGGCGAAGGCGGCUACCUGGACAGAAACUGACGCUGAGGCGCGAAAGCUAGGGGAGCAAACAGGAUUAGAUACCCUGGUAGUCCUAGCCCUAAACGAUGGAUACUUGGUGUGACUGGGAUUGAAUCCAGUCGUGCCGAAGCUAACGCAUUAAGUAUCCCGCCUGGGGAGUACGGUCGCAAGGCUG
RNAcentral lists this ribosomal RNA (373 nucleotides) under uncultured organism. RNAcentral's name for it is "bacterial SSU rRNA". It matches the Rfam family "Bacterial small subunit ribosomal RNA", at positions 525 to 896 of the family's 1533-position model. The record is from RNAcentral.